UACGUAGGGGGCUAGAGUUGUCCGGAUUUACUGGGUGUAAAGGGUGCUCAGGUGGAUUUGUAAGUCAGAGGUGAAAUCCCAAAGCUUAACUUUGGAGCUGCCUUUGAUACUGCGAGUCUUGAAUUUGAGAGAGGGUAAUGGAAUAUCUGGUGUAGCAGUGAAAUGCGUAGAUAUCAGAUAGAACACCAAUGGCGAAGGCAGUUACCUGGCUCAAAAUUGACGCUAAAGCACGAAAGUGUGGGGAGCAAACAGG
Molecule: ribosomal RNA, 253 nt
Filed under: uncultured bacterium
Lineage: Bacteria
Description: partial 16S ribosomal RNA
Rfam family: Bacterial small subunit ribosomal RNA
Source: RNAcentral